Molecule: ribosomal RNA, 381 nt
Filed under: uncultured Caldisericum sp.
Lineage: Bacteria; Pseudomonadati; Caldisericota; Caldisericia; Caldisericales; Caldisericaceae
Description: bacterial SSU rRNA
Rfam family: Bacterial small subunit ribosomal RNA
Source: RNAcentral
GGCCUCUGUGAGCAAUCCACGAGACCAUACACAGGUGCUGCAUGGUUGUCGUCAGCUCGUGUCGUGAGAUGUACGUUAAGUCCGUGAACGAGCGCAACCCCUGCCCUUAGUUGCUAAUAUGCGAAAGCAUAUGCACUCUAAGGGGACCGCCAGCGGAAAGCUGGAGGAAGGUGGGGAUGACGUCAAAUCCUCAUGGCCUUUAUGUCCAGGGCUACACACAUGCGACAAUGGUCGAGACAACGCGUUGCAAACCAGUAAUGGUAAGCUAAUCGCAUAAAAUCGACCUCAGUACGGAUUGAGGGUUGCAAUUCACCCUCAUGAAGAUGGAGUUGCUAGUAACCGCAGGUCAGCUAUACCGCGAUGAGUACGUUCCCGGGGCUU